This 478-nucleotide ribosomal RNA is filed under the name uncultured bacterium. RNAcentral describes it as "partial 16S ribosomal RNA". It matches the Rfam family "Bacterial small subunit ribosomal RNA", at positions 28 to 507 of the family's 1533-position model. The record is from RNAcentral.
GAUGAACGCUGGCGGCGUGCUUAACACAUGCAAGUCGAACGAGAAGUGAAGACGGAAACCUUCGGGCGGAAGGCUUUAUUUCGAGUGGCGGACGGGUGAGUAACGCGUGGGUAACCUGCCUCAUACAGGGGGAUAACAGUUGGAAACGACUGUUAAUACCGCAUAAGACCACAGCACCGCAUGGUGCGGGGGUAAAAACUCCGGUGGUAUGAGAUGGACCCGCGUUCGAUUGGCCAGUUGGCGGGGUAACGGCCCACCAAAGCGACGAUCGAUAGCCGAUCUGAGAGGAUGACCGGCCACAUUGGGACUGAGACACGGCCCAAACUCCUACGGGAGGCAGCAGUGGGGAAUAUUGCACAAUGGGGGAAACCCUGAUGCAGCGACGCCGCGUGAGUGAAGAAGUAUUUCGGUAUGUAAAGCUCUAUCAGCAGGGAAGAAAAUGACGGUACCUGAGUAAGAAGCCCCGGCUAACUACGUG